GACGAAUGCUGGCGGCGUGCUUAACACAUGCAAGUCGAACGGAAAGGUCCUGCCUUUGUGGGGUGCUCGAGUUGCGAACGGGUGAGUAACACGUGAGUAACCUGUCCUUGACUUUGGGAUAACUUCAGGCAACUGGGGCUAAUACCGGAUAGGAGUUCUCGCUGUAUGGUGGGCGUGGGAAAGUUUCGCUGGUUGGGGUUGUACUCGCGGCCUAUGGGCUUGUUGGUGGGGUAGUGUCUUACCAAGGCCUGGACGGGUAGCCGGCCGGGGCGGGUGACCGGCCACAUUGGGACUGAGAUACGGCCCAGACUCCUACGGGAGGCAGCAGUGGAGAAUAUUGCACAAUGGGCGGAAGCCUGAUGCAGCCACGCCGCGUGCGGGAUGACGGCCUUCGGGUUGUAAACCGCUUUCGCCUGUGACGAAGCGUGAGUGACAGUAAUGGGUAAAGAAGCACCGGCUAACUACGUG
RNAcentral lists this ribosomal RNA (468 nucleotides) under uncultured bacterium. RNAcentral describes it as "partial 16S ribosomal RNA". It matches the Rfam family "Bacterial small subunit ribosomal RNA", at positions 28 to 507 of the family's 1533-position model. The record is from RNAcentral.